Molecule: ribosomal RNA, 496 nt
Filed under: uncultured bacterium
Lineage: Bacteria
Description: partial 16S ribosomal RNA
Rfam family: Bacterial small subunit ribosomal RNA
Source: RNAcentral
GACGAACGCUGGCGGCGUGCCUGAUACAUGCAAGUAGAACGCUGAAGAGAGGAGCUUGCUCUUCUUGGAUGAGUUGCGAACGGGUGAGUAACGCGUAGGUAACCUGCCUUGUAGCGGGGGAUAACUAUUGGAAACGAUAGCUAAUACCGCAUAACAAUGGAUGACACAUGUCAUUUAUUUGAAAGGGGCAAUUGCUCCACUACAAGAUGGACCUGCGUUGUAUUAGCUAGUAGGUGAGGUAAUGGCUCACCUAGGCGACGAUACAUAGCCGACCUGAGAGGGUGAUCGGCCACACUGGGACUGAGACACGGCCCAGACUCCUACGGGAGGCAGCAGUAGGGAAUCUUCGGCAAUGGGGGCAACCCUGACCGAGCAACGCCGCGUGAGUGAAGAAGGUUUUCGGAUCGUAAAGCUCUGUUGUAAGUCAAGAACGGGUGUGAGAGUGGAAAGUUCACACUGUGACGGUAGCUUACCAGAAAGGGACGGCUAACUACGU